CGUCGAUCAGCACACUAUCAACCUAAUCAAUGGGACUACAAUACCAUCCAAACCAUAACAAACAAUUUCGUGCAUACCAUGAAAUUGUUUGUUAUGGUUUGGAUGGUGUUAUAGACCCAUUGAUUAGGUUAAUAGUGUGCUGACCGACGAUUGACAUUAAUAGCAAAAUUCUAUUAAUGUCAGUCAUCGGUCAGCACACUAUUAACCUAAUCAAUGGGAGUACAAUACCAUCCAAACCAUAACAAACAAUUUCAUGAGGAGGCAUAUGGCCUUUCGGCUAAGGAGUUGAAGGAAGAGGUUAGGGCUUUGUUGACAGAAACUGACGCAGUAGUUCAAGUCAAGCUCAUUGAUUCCAUCGAAAGGCUCAGAUUGGGCUAUCAUUUUGUGGAGGAGAUUGAACGACUCUUGAAUAAUAUGCUUGUAAGUGGUUAUCACAAAGUGGUGCAAAAGAUGGCUUGCAUGUUACUGCUGUCCUUUUUGUAAUAAAGUAGGUAGACUAAUAUGCAGUAAAAUCAAAUUUUUUUUAUCUACCUACAUCCUAAGAUCCAUACGUAGAAGAAGAUCCAAGAUAGAAAAUUACCUGAAGCGUGCAGAUUAACAACGAAAAACUGCGUACUCGUUGAAAUGUUGUGCGGCAAUUGUAGCGAAGCCUCUACUAGUAUCCACACGAACUUGUUGGAACUCUGCACGUCAGUGUGCUAGCACUUUGAAGACGGCGGCUUUUAGAAUCUCUCUCUCUUUUCCUCACGAUUUCAGAAGCUCGAUUGGAUGAUCAAAAGGUCCAUCCCAUGCCCCUUUUUAUAGGGCUGUGAGCAACUGCGACUUUCAGCGUAUGAGGAGGAGGAGGAGGAGAGGGAGGGGAUGAGGGGGCCAAGGUUGACCUAGAGGAGGGAGAUGAGGACGGAGGAGAGGAGGAGGAGGAUGAUGGUGCGCUAGAGGGAGAGGGGAAUGGGAGAGGAGGAGGAGGAGGAGAGAGAGGGCACAAAUUUAAUAAAUUUGGGAGAUAAGGGGGUUAAAUGCAAAAUUUCUAGCUGGAGUUUUGAGAAAAGUGCCUUAUUGAUAAAACUUUGCAAACCAACAUCUAGGUGUCUGCUUCAAACCAUACAGAGAUUUGCGCAGUCUGCACACCUUCCCUGGAGCACGCUCAUGGAAUCCAGCUGCUACAGCUAAGAAAGUACGAACAGUAGUCAUCUUAGCAACAGGAGCAAAAGUAUCAGUGUAAUCGAUACCUUCAAUCUGGUGAUUCCCAAAUAUGACCAAACGUGCCUUGAGACGUUCCAGGCUUCCAUCUGAAUUGUAUUUCACCUUGUACACCCAUCUGCUCCCGAGAGCCCGUUUUCCAGGGGGUAAAUCAACCAUCUCCCAAGUCCCAUUCUCUUCUAGAGCGCGAAUCUCGCUAUGCAUGGCAUCCCUCCAUCCAGCAACCUCCAUAGCCUCUCGAAAGGACUUGGGCUCAGUACCUGUAGUUAUGGCUGCAAGAAAACUUCUAUGUCCCACAGAAAAUUUGUUACAAUUCACAAAACUGGUUAUAGGGAAAGCAGUACCUGAGGUCUUAACUGAGGCAGGUGGCGAGGAGACCGGACUUAUUAUCUGCACUGUAUUAGUCACAUAAUCACGAAGCUUAGUCGAAGGCACUUUCUUCCUUUUUCCCUUACCAAUCUCCUCAGUAUUAAUAAUCUCCUCAGUACCAGUAUUCGACUCUGCUAACUCAGAAACAGGCUCAGCCAGAGUAUCCGAAGGCAAUGACGAAGGUCCCUCUGACAACUCGGACC
This is an RNA transcript of Asparagus officinalis (garden asparagus), 1772 nucleotides long. It is a transcript of the gene named probable terpene synthase 9, with no coding region annotated. The record is from RefSeq and is a predicted model, not a curated record. The transcript is spliced from 5 exons. Lineage: Eukaryota; Viridiplantae; Streptophyta; Magnoliopsida; Asparagales; Asparagaceae.